UACAAGGUUAUCAAAGUCAUGCAGCGCAUGCUUGCAUGCGAAUGCAUGACCUUGAGAACCGAACAAACAUGAGGAAGGAGUAUUUUACGAAGUAAAAUGCGGGAUUCCGAAUGGUUGUAGCAUUGCGGGAGUGCGAAGCACGGAGCAAUGCGUAGUAU
This 158-nucleotide small RNA is filed under the name chicken gut metagenome. RNAcentral describes it as "Clostridiales-1 RNA". It matches the Rfam family "Clostridiales-1 RNA". The record is from RNAcentral.